Molecule: long non-coding RNA, 907 nt
Organism: Danio rerio (zebrafish)
Lineage: Eukaryota; Metazoa; Chordata; Actinopteri; Cypriniformes; Danionidae
Product: zgc:194207
Source: RefSeq, marked validated
AAGAAGAAGAUUAACCACUUCCACGAGCUUCACGCCACGGCUUUUUACAGAAUUCUGUUCUGAUGUUGAGCUGUGGUCCCUUCAUCCAGACGCUCUUCGAAAACCAGUCUCUUUCACAGACAUCAGGGUCCAGUGACUACUUUUGGGGGGUCUGCAAACUUCCAAUGAGGACCAUUGACCAAUUGAAAAGGAUUCACUCAAGGAGGGAUUAAAUGCCACCAUCUCACCCCAAUACCUUGGAAAUGAUGGGUCAAUUAUUGGGUGAUGGCUUUUCCACCACCAAAACGCUUGUAAAUAGUUGCCUAAAACACAUGAAUAGUUAAUUGUUUUAGGCUGGAACCGUUUAAUUUCUAAUAAUACAUUUUAAAAUAUAAUUGUAUAAAAUGCCAUGUUGUUUUAUGUAUUGUAAAUAAACAAGUCAUUCAGCACCAUUUCAGUAAGUAACUAAUGUCAAGCAGUUGUGACUGUUGCGCAUAAUUAUUGUGAUGCUGUAUAAAGUAAUAUCAAAGGUGACAACAUACUUGCCACACAAUUUUUAUAUCAAUUGACAUGACAAAAGUGCAGUUGAGGCAUGACAAUGUCAAAGUUGCAUCAACAGCAGCUUGUAAAUGGGAUGAUUUUGAAUAAAAACUUUCUUGAAAUUAUUAUAAUUAUUUUAAUUGGUGUCAAUGAUCCCUUCGAUGCAAAUUCGAGUGACUAUUUACCUCACAAUCGCAUAACAUGUUGUAUUUGGUUAUGACAAAUGGGGAAAGUCAAAAUUUGUCAGCAACUUGUACAAACUGUUCUGCUUGAUUUUGAAUUAUCUGCAGAUUAAUUUGGGCAUGCAUUCAUGGCAGCUUGGUGUAUGUUUCAAUCAUGGCUAUCAGCUUUUACAACAGUACUGCAAAAUAAAUUCUCAACAUCUGAA